UACGAAGGGGGCUAGCGUUGUUCGGAAUUACUGGGCGUAAAGGGCGCGUAGGCGGCUCUGAUCGUCGGAUGUGAAAGGCCUGGGCUCAACCUGGGAAUGGCAUCCGAUACGGCGGGGCUGGAGUGUGGGAGAGGUUGGUGGAAUUCCCAGUGUAGAGGUGAAAUUCGUAGAUAUUGGGAAGAACACCAGUGGCGAAGGCGACUUCCUGGCCUGUUCUUGACGCUGAGGCGCGAAAGCUAGGGGAGCAAACGGG
RNAcentral lists this ribosomal RNA (253 nucleotides) under uncultured bacterium. RNAcentral's name for it is "partial 16S ribosomal RNA". It matches the Rfam family "Bacterial small subunit ribosomal RNA", at positions 524 to 776 of the family's 1533-position model. The record is from RNAcentral.